GCGCAUGGAUAUUCAGGCUGUGGUACAGCUUUGAUCACAAUUACCUGAAGCCCAUCCUCACACACAGUGGUCCCCCACUAACCACCACGCUCCCCGCCUGGUGUGGCUUACUAGCUCGAUGUCUGACCAGUCCCCAGGUGUACGAUAACCAAGAGCCACUGAGAGAGGAAGACUCUGAUUUCAUCCUGACCGAAGGCGACCUGACAUUGACCUACGGGGACAGCACAGUGACUGCAAAUGGCUCCUCAAGUUCGCACACCGCCUCCACGAGUCUGGAGGGCAGCCGGAGAACGAAGAGCAGCUCGGAGGAAGUGCUGGAGCGAGACCUGGGAAUGGGAGACCAGAAGGUUUCGAGCCGGGGCACCCGCCUAGUGUUUCCCCUGGAAGAUAAUGCUUGACUUUCCCCCCAAGCCCUGGCGCGAUGGGACUGAAGAUUUGAAAAUACAUCCACGAACAUUUCAACAUGGAACGAAGAAUUAUAGUUCCUUCUCUGGCUAUAUCC
RNAcentral lists this long non-coding RNA (502 nucleotides) under Homo sapiens (human). Its description in RNAcentral is "non-protein coding lnc-ZNF674-8:2". Lineage: Eukaryota; Metazoa; Chordata; Mammalia; Primates; Hominidae. The record is from RNAcentral.